RNAcentral lists this ribosomal RNA (939 nucleotides) under Fomitopsis serialis. RNAcentral's name for it is "LSU rRNA". It matches the Rfam family "Eukaryotic large subunit ribosomal RNA", at positions 37 to 962 of the family's 3401-position model. The record is from RNAcentral. Lineage: Eukaryota; Fungi; Basidiomycota; Agaricomycetes; Polyporales; Fomitopsidaceae.
AGCAUAUCAAUAAGCGGAGGAAAAGAAACUAACAAGGAUUCCCCUAGUAACUGCGAGUGAAGCGGGAAAAGCUCAAAUUUAAAAUCUGGCGGUCUUCGGCCGUCCGAGUUGUAGUCUGGAGAAGUGCUUUCCGCGCUGGACCGUGUACAAGUCUCUUGGAACAGAGCGUCAUAGAGGGUGAGAAUCCCGUCUUUGACACGGACUACCAGUGCUCUGUGAUGCGCUCUCAAAGAGUCGAGUUGUUUGGGAAUGCAGCUCAAAAUGGGUGGUAAAUUCCAUCUAAAGCUAAAUAUUGGCGAGAGACCGAUAGCGAACAAGUACCGUGAGGGAAAGAUGAAAAGCACUUUGGAAAGAGAGUUAAACAGUACGUGAAAUUGCUGAAAGGGAAACGAUUGAAGUCAGUCGCGUUAGCCAGGACUCAGCCUUGUUUUUACUUGGUGCAUUUUCUGGUUGACGGGCCAGCAUCGAUUUUGAUCGCCGGAAAAAGGUUGGGGGAAUGUGGCACCUUCGGGUGUGUUAUAGCCCUCAAUCACAUACGGUGAUUGGGAUCGAGGACCGCAGCACGCCUUUAUGGCCGGGGUUCGCCCACGUUCGUGCUUAGGAUGCUGGCGUAAUGGCUUUAAACGACCCGUCUUGAAACACGGACCAAGGAGUCUAACAUGCCUGCGAGUGUUUGGGUGGAAAACCCGAGCGCGUAAUGAAAGUGAAAGUUGAGAUCCCUGUCGCGGGGAGCAUCGACGCCCGGACUUGAACUUCGGUGAUAGAUCUGCGGUAGAGCAUGUAUGUUGGGACCCGAAAGAUGGUGAACUAUGCCUGAAUAGGGUGAAGCCAGAGGAAACUCUGGUGGAGGCUCGUAGCGAUUCUGACGUGCAAAUCGAUCGUCAAAUUUGGGUAUAGGGGCGAAAGACUAAUCGAACCAUCUAGUAGCUGGUUCCUGCC